RNAcentral lists this long non-coding RNA (279 nucleotides) under Lathyrus oleraceus (garden pea). Its description in RNAcentral is "Pisum sativum (pea) long non-coding RNA (PSAT_LNC029441)". Lineage: Eukaryota; Viridiplantae; Streptophyta; Magnoliopsida; Fabales; Fabaceae. The record is from RNAcentral.
UUUGCUUUUUUAUUUAUUUCUCAUUUAUAUGUUUUUUUGUUUUUUUGGAUCAAAUCCUAUGACACUUUACUUUCUUGAUUUAUUGCACGGGUCAUGACUAUCUCACUCCUUUUGUGGGUAAGGGAUAACCAUUAUGAAUUUGUGAUUUCAUCCGCUUGAGAGGGAUAUGAUAUGAUUGAUCACUUGACGGGAUAUUCUCCUUUCUGAAAUUUGAACGCAAGGUCAAACUAACUGAAGACUACCCUUCCCCUAGUUAAACAUGAGGGUUUUAUGUAUAAA